GGGAUUCCAUCUCUGUUACUAGCAAACUUCUCCCCUUAACAAAUUAACCAUUAACAUUUACUUAAAAAAAAAAUUAUUCACAAAGUAAGCACCAAAAUUUUAGAAUGCUAAAAACUACAAAUCAAUUGAUUUGCUCACUUAAAGAUUAGGUACUUGGUUCCACACAGAAGACAUCAUCAACCGAUCAUUUAGCAAUUCGUGUGAUCCUACAAUACAAAUUAAGGUCAUCAAAUAGAUUACUAUAUAAUUCAAAUGUUAGUUGCUUCAAAAAAAAAUCAAAUGUAAGUUUUUUUCUUCCUAUUUUCCCUCUUCCACGUGAGCCAAUUUUUUAAUAAAAAAUGAUUUGUUGUGGAUUCCUAUUCUUAGGAAAAAAAAGCUUGCUGAGUUGGUCCACUAUUUUUCCCACUUAUCCCAUAAUCUGAUGUACGUUUCUAUAUCAACUGAAUAGUGCUAAAGAUCUGCCCUCAAAGUGUUACACGGAUCCAGACUCUGUGAUGGACAAGACUCUAUGAAAGGGAAACGUAUUCACUCUGUUUCAAGGUCACUGAACCUACUCUUCUCUCUAUAGAAAACUACACCAUCGAGUUUGAGUGAGUUAAGGUUUAGAAUAGUGAAACAAAUCGGUUGUAGCAGCAAUAGUUUAAAUGUGUUUUUUAUGCUGUUUAACAUGUUUAAAUAGAUUAGAAAUCAUUUACAUUUUGGUUAACCAUGGUUGGAGUUAGUGUUCUUAAUUUUGCUUCUGCAAACUUCUCAAAUUUUAAGUGUGACAUUCCCGAGUUAAACGGUGACAAUUAUAAGAUCUGGAAGGAAAGAAUUCUCCUUCCUAAUGUAACGGAGAAUUCUUUCCUUCCAGAUCUUAUAAUUGUUCGUUUAACUCGGGAAUGUCACACUUGCGGAAGCAAAUUAAGAACACUAACCUCUAGGCAUUGUUAACCAAAAUGUAAACGAUUUCUAAUCGAUUUAAACAUAUUAAACAACAUAAACAACACAUUUAAACUAUCACUGUUACAACUGAUUUGUUUCACUAUUCUAAACCUUAACUAACUCAAACUCGAUUGUGUAAUUUUCUAUAGAGAGAAGAGUAGGUUCAGUGACCAUGAAACAGAGUGAAUACGUUUCCUUUUUAUAGAGUCUUACCCAUCACAAAGUAUGGAAACGUGUAACACUUUGAGGGCCGAUCUUUAGCAUUAUUUAGUUACUACAAGGACGUGUAUUAGAUUAUGGGAUAAGUGCGAAAAGGAGUGGACCAACUCAACAAAUUUUUCCCCUAUGAAUAGCAAUCCACAUCAAUUCAUUUUUGACUCAAAUAUUGGCUCAAUUUUACAUUACCUAUGCUAAACUUUUAUAAAGAAAGAUUAAAUACCAAACACAAAAAGUUCAAUACAUUAGCCCAUUCCGUAGAUAAUUUUUGUAGCACUGAAUAUGAAUUUUUAUCAUUCCAUGGAGAUAGAAGACAAGGACACAGGAAAGAAUGAUUCAAUUUGAAAUUAUGAUGUUAAACAUCAAUACAAUGAUGAUGACAUACAAACACCAUUUGACGUUGUUGUAUGGGUAGAGAUAGAACUCCCAACUUUCUUAUCACACACACAAAGUCAACUUUAUAUCCCUAAUUCUAGAAAUAGUUUUGUAGAUAGACACCAAUAAUCUCACAGUAACAAUUUUAUAUCAAGUGAAAUUUACUCGUAAAACAAAAAAACAAAACAUAUUUGAUGCUUAUAAAGUAGCAUAUAUAUAUUAUUAUUGAUUGAUUACAAGAUAUGCAGUGAGAAAUAUGGUACUUUAUAAACAUCAAAUAUGUUUUGUUUUACUCAUAAAAUCUUUGAAAGUGUGGUUGAGCCUAACAAAAUUUUAUAAAAUUGACUUAUGCGAUGAUGAUUGUCCCCACUUAUAAAUAUAUUGGUCAGAUCAUCUCUUGUCUGAUGUGCUACUUUUUAACACACCUCCUAAGACCUAGGAAUGGACCUCUUAAACGUGGAUAUAAAUGGUGGAUGGCUUAAAAGCAAAAACAUGAUAGCAUGUGGCCCAAUGAAUCUUGGAGGAGGCAUUGAUGCAAUCUUAGGUAAUUGAAGAUUAUCGUAUAAGAAGGUCAUCAGUCCCAUCUCCACAACAACUAAAAUCUCUAACUAAACUUUAUUGCCCUUUUGAAGAGUGUCCUUACAAAGAUCAGGCCUUCUCUCAAGCCUGUUUUUUAAAGGUUGAGCAAUUCCUCUUUCUUGUUCUCAAUCAUAUUGUUCGAGUAUUUCUUAGUCGAUGCUACGACUUACUCAACAAACUCCCCAAUUGACAACGAAUCAAUAAGAACAAACUCCCAAACAAUUUCCCUAAUAAUCUUCUCUGGUCUUGUAACAUCCCUCAUAUUUCCACAAUCUAAACCUUUAAAAACAAUCAUAUUCCAGAAUUCCAUCCCCUUGAAUCACCCGAAAGAACUUCAAAUCUAGGUCUAGUAAGCAAUUGUGAAGGAAAAAAAAGAGAAUGAUUUUCUAAACUAGUAGUUUUAUACCGACUAUUGUUAUCUUGUUUCAUGAAUGAACCAAGACUAGUUCCAGUUCCCACAAUGAUUUGACAAAGCAACAACACCAUCAACUAUUGGUUUAAACCUUAUAUGAACAGAAUCAUUAGUAUCCUCCCCACAAUUCCAAAUUUGAUCAUCUUUAUCAAAUAAUGGCGGUAGAACGAACUAGUCUUAGUUCAUUCAUGCAACAAGGUAAUUAGUCACUAUAAAACUACUAGUUCAGAAAAUCACUCUUUUUUUCCUUCUGAAUUGCCUGAUGAACCUAGAUUUGAAGCUCAUUCAGCUAAUUUAGAGGGUAGGAAUUAUGAGAAUAUGAGAGUUUUAGAAGGUUUAGAUGGUGGAAAUACAGGAAUGUUUCAAAACCAGAGAAGAUUAGCGAAAUUAGUUUGGAGUUUGUUUCUAUUGUUUCAUUGAUAAUUCAGGAGAUUGUUAAGGAAGUUGUAGCAUCAAUUAAGAAAUACUUGAAGAAUAUGAUUGAGAACAAGAAAGAAGAAUUGGUCAACCUUCAAAACAGGCUUAAGAGAAGGUCUGAUCUUUCUAAGGAGACUCUUUACAAGGGUAAUAAAGUUCAGUUAGAGAAUUUAGUUGCAGUGAAUAUGAAACUGUCGAGCUUCUUAUACGGUAAUCUUCAAUUAUCUAAGAAUGUAUCAGAGCCUCCUCCAAGAUGCAUUGAGCCACAUGUUAUCAGGUUUCCGUUAUCGAGCCACCAUAUUCACACUUCAGAUGUCCAGACCAAGUUGUAAGGGGUGUGUUAAAGUGUUCCACAUCAGAUAAUCAGAUAAGAGUUGAUGUGUUUAUAAGUGGGGGCAAUCCUCACUCCACAAGUCAGUUUUGUAAGGUUAUGUUAAACUUAAUUACAAUUUCAAAGAUUUUAUGAGUAAUCUCUUAUAUAACAUUUCUUAAAAUAAAUAAAUAAAUCUUAUAUAGAUAUAGACAUGCCCUUCCUUACAUAUUUUGUAAUCAAUAAUAUUAUAGGUUGUUUUAGAGAAAUAUAUUUGUACAACCAUUUUGCUACAAUUUUUUGAUAACUUUCUCUCUCAUACUCAGAUGAUGUUAUUAUCCUCUCUUUUCCUUGUUCUCUCUCUUUAUUGUGUUUGACCAAUCAAAAAAGAAUAAAACAAAGUUGUCACCAAAGUUGUCAUUAAAUGGAUGUACAAAUAUCAUUUCUCUAUUUGAUAAGCAUGCAUCAAUAAGUUUUGUGUUUGUUCUUCUAGUAAAUUUCAUAUGAUGUCAAAGUGAUGUUCUGAGACUAUUCAUCUAUGUGUAAAACUACUUUUAGAAUCAAAAUUAUUGACUAGAGAUAUAAAAUUGACUUUGUCAGAACGGAAGUUGGGAGUUAUAUCCCUAUCCAUACCACAACUCAAAUGGUGUUUGUGUCAUCAUCAUUGUAUCAAUGUUAGCAUCUUAAUUUCAAAUUGAAUCUUUCUUUUCUCUGUGUCCUUGUCUUCUAUCUCAUGGAAAUCUCACAUUCAUCACAACAAAAAUGAUCUAGUGAAUGGACUUAUGUAUUGAACUUUAUUAUAUCUAAAAUAACAACCAAGUAGACCGUGUAAUCAACAUAUCUUUCCGUUCAAAGAAACUAUUAGUACAUUUUCUUUUGUCAAAACCGCACCUUAAGUUUUGCAACUGUAGCAGUUUUGGCCCCUUAAGGCCAAUUUUUGGUAAAAAAAAACAAAAAAAAAAAAAUGUGGCACCUCACUUAAGGUGCCAUGUCAGCGUAGACUGAGUCAAAAUUGACCUUGGGGGACAAAACUAUCAACUUAGAAGCGGUUUUGUAGUUUUUUUUUUAUGAGGCCAAAAUCACAACUUUAGGAAAGUUAGGCGGCUAAAACUGUUAUUAAACCUAAAAAAAAUGCUAAACUAGUAUAUUUUAUUUCAUAUAUUUUUUUAAUCAAAUGUACAUCCUACAUAUAUUAUGCUCAAUGUUUAUUUAUUGAGCUACGCUAUUCGUAGAGAAUAAACAAAUCAUCAACCUUUAAUGAAAGGGUCUCCUACAAUUUCAAUCUCUAACUAAAAGUUGUUUAUAACAGGCCUCACUUUUAUGAUUUGUAACAGAUAUUUUUUCUUUUAAUUUUUAUAGUCAGAACAAAAUAUAAAACAAUUUAAUAGAACAAAUAGAUACCUGAAUUCGGGCGCCUCCUUCUAUAGAAGUGGUUGCAAAGAAACAUCAUCAUAUUUCCAAAUUGCUAUUUUAUCACAAUCUGACUAUCUUUCCUUUUCCCUAAAAUCAAUCUUUCACUAAUUUUUGCAUUAACACAACCAUUAAGGUUCUACUCUUGAUGAUUGUAUUGCCCCUGCUAGGCUAAGAUUCGUAUGGGGAGCAUCCAAUUUUAAACCCAUACACCCGUGCAUCAAAACAAAAUCUAAAAACCUACGGGAAACGCCACCUAACAAUCAAAAGCAAACUUAACACCAAAAUCAAAGACAAACCUCCUCACAACAACAUAAACAAAAGUUGUACCAAAUCCCUCAAACAUCAUCACAAGCCGUCACAAAAACAACUUCCACCAUUACAUUCCGCUGCUCGCACACAACCCCCAAACCCCAAACAGUAACA
This 5069-nucleotide long non-coding RNA is filed under the name Medicago truncatula (barrel medic). RNAcentral describes it as "long non-coding RNA (MTRU_LNC000456)". Lineage: Eukaryota; Viridiplantae; Streptophyta; Magnoliopsida; Fabales; Fabaceae. The record is from RNAcentral.